GACGAACGCUGGCGGCGUGCUUAACACAUGCAAGUCGAACGGAAAGGCCCUGCUUUUGUGGGGUGCUCGAGUGGCGAACGGGUGAGUAACACGUGAGUAACCUGCCCUUGACUUUGGGAUAACUUCAGGAAACUGGGGCUAAUACCGGAUAGGAGCUCCUGCUGCAUGGUGGGGGUUGGAAAGUUUCGGCGGUUGGGGAUGGACUCGCGGCUUAUCAGCUUGUUGGUGGGGUAGUGGCUUACCAAGGCUUUGACGGGUAGCCGGCCUGAGAGGGUGACCGGCCACAUUGGGACUGAGAUACGGCCCAGACUCCUACGGGAGGCAGCAGUGGGGAAUAUUGCACAAUGGGCGGAAGCCUGAUGCAGCAACGCCGCGUGCGGGAUGACGGCCUUCGGGUUAUAAACCGCUUUCGCCUGUGACGAAUCGUGAGUGACGGUAAUGGGUAAAGAAGCACCGGCUAACUACGUG
Molecule: ribosomal RNA, 468 nt
Filed under: uncultured bacterium
Lineage: Bacteria
Description: partial 16S ribosomal RNA
Rfam family: Bacterial small subunit ribosomal RNA
Source: RNAcentral